CAGUCGCCACGGUAAUACAGAGGGUGCGAGCGUUAAUCGGAUUUACUGGGCGUAAAGCGUGCGUAGGCGGCUUUUUAAGUCGGAUGUGAAAUCCCUGAGCUUAACUUAGGAAUUGCAUUCGAUACUGGGAAGCUAGAGUAUGGGAGAGGAUGGUAGAAUUCCAGGUGUAGCGGUGAAAUGCGUAGAGAUCUGGAGGAAUACCGAUGGCGAAGGCAGCCAUCUGGCCUAAUACUGACGCUGAGGUACGAAAGCAUGGGAGCAAACAGGAUUAGAUACCCCAGUAGUCCCUGUCUCUUAUACA
This 301-nucleotide ribosomal RNA is filed under the name uncultured bacterium. Its description in RNAcentral is "partial 16S ribosomal RNA". It matches the Rfam family "Bacterial small subunit ribosomal RNA", at positions 509 to 808 of the family's 1533-position model. The record is from RNAcentral.